GAUGAACGCUGGCGGCGUGCCUAAUACAUGCAAGUCGAGCGAACAGACGAGGAGAUUUCUCCUCUGACGUUAGCGGCGGACGGAUGAGUAACUAGUGGAUAACCUACCUAUAAGACUGGGAUAAAUUCGGGAAACCAGAGCUAAUACCGGAUAAUAUCUUGAACCACAUGGUUCAAUAGUGAAAGACGGUUUUGCUGUCACUUAUAGAUGGAUCCGCGCCGCAUUAGUUAGUUGGUAAGGUAGCGGCUUAACAAGGCAACGAUGCGUAGCCGCCCUGAAAGAGAGAACGGCCACACGGGAACUGAGACAGGGUCCAAACACCUACGGGGGGCAGCGGUGGGGAAUCUUCCGCAAUGGGCGAAGGCGGAACGGAGAAAGGCCGCGUAAUGGAUGAAGGUCUACGGAUCGUAAAGCUCGGUUUUUGGGGAGGAACAAAUGUGUGAGUAACUAUGCACGUCUUGACGGUACCGAAUCAGAAAGCCACGGCUAACUACGUG
Molecule: ribosomal RNA, 497 nt
Filed under: uncultured bacterium
Lineage: Bacteria
Description: partial 16S ribosomal RNA
Rfam family: Bacterial small subunit ribosomal RNA
Source: RNAcentral